AACGAACGCUGGCGGCGCGCCUAAUACAUGCAAGUCGAGCGAGAAGACGUAGCAAUACGUUUGUAAAGCGGCGAACGGGUGAGGAAUACAUGGGUAACCUACCCUCGAGUGGGGAAUAACUAGCCGAAAGGUUAGCUAAUACCGCGUACGCUCCUUGGACUUCGGUUCAGGGAGGAAAGCGAUACCGUGGGUAUCGCGCUCUUGGAUGGGCUCAUGUCCUAUCAGCUUGUUGGUGAGGAACGGCUCACCAAGGCUUCGACGGGUAGCUGGUCUGAGAGGACGAUCAGCCACACUGGCACUGCGACACGGGCCAGACUCCUACGGGAGGCAGCAGUAAGGAAUAUUGCGCAAUGGGCGAAAGCCUGACGCAGCGACGCCGCGUGGGGAUGAAGGUCUUCGGAUUGUAAACCCCUUUCGGGAGGGAAGAUGGAACGAGCAAUCGUUCGGACGGUACCUCCAGAAGCAGCCACGGCUAACUUCGUGCCAGCAGCCG
RNAcentral lists this ribosomal RNA (493 nucleotides) under uncultured bacterium. Its description in RNAcentral is "bacterial SSU rRNA". It matches the Rfam family "Bacterial small subunit ribosomal RNA", at positions 29 to 517 of the family's 1533-position model. The record is from RNAcentral.